AUCGCUUGGCCUUUUGGUUAAGAUCAAAUGUAGUACCUGUUCUUAUCAGUUUAAUCUCUGAUACAUCCACUAGCUGAGGACAAUAUAUUAAAUGGAUUUUUGGAGCGUGGAGUUGGAAUAGGAGCUUGCUCCAUCCGGACAAAUACUGGGUCCUCACAUGGACCCGGUAUUUCAGUUCCUCUGGGAGCUGUGCACCCUCU
This is a small nuclear RNA of Lepus europaeus (European hare), 200 nucleotides long. RefSeq annotates it as U2 spliceosomal RNA. The transcript has a single exon. The record is from RefSeq and is a predicted model, not a curated record. NCBI's taxonomy places the organism in Eukaryota, Metazoa, Chordata, Mammalia, Lagomorpha, Leporidae.